This 936-nucleotide ribosomal RNA is filed under the name Triticum aestivum (bread wheat). RNAcentral describes it as "partial small subunit ribosomal RNA". Lineage: Eukaryota; Viridiplantae; Streptophyta; Magnoliopsida; Poales; Poaceae. The record is from RNAcentral.
AUGGCGCAAACUUCAAACAUCCGUGAGAUUGAAAUCCUUUUACUAGAGUAUUGUGAAAGAGAUGUUAUUCCAACAAUGAUUCAAAUCGACGAAAGCACCCAAGGAACGAUUGAAGAGCAAAUGUUGUACAACAGAAAAACAUUGAGGGAAAUUAUAGAACUGCGAUAUGCUGACGUUAAAAGAAAGGAAUUUGUAUGCACAACAAAAGCAACAAUUGAUGAUAUUAUAACAGAUAAAGGCUGGUGGUACAUGGCAUGCAAACUUUGCUUUUGUGCUACAAAAAAGGAACAAGAUAACUAUAUUUGCACUUCCUGUCAUGAAGUAGCUCAAAAUCCAGACAUGCGGUACCUACUUAAACUGAAGGUACACGAUGGCACGGCAACAACAACUUUCGUGAUGUUUAAUGAGGUAGCAAAGAGUCUUUUAGGCAACAUAUCUGCAUCGACCCUAUUAGAGCAGGAGGGAUUCAACAACACAAUACCAGAUGUUAUUCAGAACCUUUAUGGCAGAACACUCAUAUUUCGACUGAAGUUAAAUUCAAAGAAUCUAGAAGAGUGUAUGGAAAAUUUUAAAGUGAGCUACACUUUUGAAGUUGAUGAAAAACUUGAGAUGGAAUAUUCAAAUGAAAUGAUUGAAGAGGUGAACCACUCCUCCAAGAAUGCAACGACUGAUGAGAAGAAGGAUAUGUGCAGAAAGGAAACCUCAGUAUCAUCCAACAAAAAGCAACAACAGAGGAUACAGAAGUCUAGCAAAAGAUAUGUAAAAGAUGGGAGACCGGUUGCUUCCAGAACAGUUGUUAAAAUUGAAGCUCCUGACGAUGAGGAGGAGGAGGAAAAUGAUGAACCGCAAGGGAGUAUAAAACAGACUAAAGGAAAACUAUCGGUGAUUACUGUAAUACUUCUAAAUGGGUGUUGGCCUGGACGCUCGGCAGAGUAG